This 439-nucleotide ribosomal RNA is filed under the name uncultured bacterium. RNAcentral's name for it is "partial 16S ribosomal RNA". It matches the Rfam family "Bacterial small subunit ribosomal RNA", at positions 339 to 795 of the family's 1533-position model. The record is from RNAcentral.
CUACGGGGGGCAGCAGUGAGGAAUAUUGCACAAUGGGGGGAACCCUGAUGCAGCAACGCCGCGUGGAGGAUGACGCAUUUCGGUGUGUAAACUCCUUUUAUAUGUCAAGAAAAUGACGGUAGCAUAUGAAUAAGCACCGGCUAACUCCGUGCCAGCAGCCGCGGUAAUACGGAGGGUGCAAGCGUUACUCGGAAUCACUGGGCGUAAAGGACGCGUAGGCGGGUUGGAAAGUCAGGUGUGAAAUCCUACAGCUUAACUGUAGAACUGCACUUGAAACUUCUAAUCUAGAGUAUGGGAGAGGGGGAUGGAAUUAGUGGUGUAGGGGUAAAAUCCGUAGAUAUCACUAGGAAUACCUAAAGCGAAGGCGAUCUCCUGGAACAUUACUGACGCUAAGGCGUGAAAGCGUGGGGAGCAAACAGGAUUAGAUACCCCAGUAGUC